AUACGUAGGGGGCGAGCGUUAUCCGGAAUUAUUGGGCGUAAAGAGUGCGUAGGUGGCUCUUUAAGCGCAGGGUUUAAGGCUACGGCUUAACUGUAGUUCGCCCUGCGAACUGAAGGGCUUGAGUGCAGGAGGGGAAAGCGGAAUUCCUAGUGUAGCGGUGAAAUGCGUAGAUAUUAGGCGGAACACCAGUGGCGAAGGCGGCUUUCUGGACUGAAACUGACACUGAGGCACGAAAGCGUGGGGAGCAAACAGGAUUAGAUACCCUGGUAGUCCACGCCGUAAACGAUGAGCACUAGGUGUCGGGCCGUAAAGGCUCGGUGCCGGAGUUAACGCAAUAAGUGCUCCGCCUGGGGAGUACGCACGCAAGUGUAAAACUUAAAGGAAUGGACGGGG
Molecule: ribosomal RNA, 393 nt
Filed under: uncultured bacterium
Lineage: Bacteria
Description: partial 16S ribosomal RNA
Rfam family: Bacterial small subunit ribosomal RNA
Source: RNAcentral